UACGAAGGGUGCUAGCGUUGUUCGGAAUUAUUGGGCGUAAAGCGUAUGUAGGCGGUUUGGUAAGUCAGUUGUGAAAGCCCCGAGCUUAACUUGGGAAUUGCAACCGAAACUACCUUGCUUGAAUUUGGUGGGGGAUAGUGGAAUUCUUAGUGUAGGGGUGAAAUCCGUAGAUAUUAAGAGGAACACCGGCGGCGAAAGCGACUAUCUACACCAACAUUGACGCUGAGAUACGAAAGCGUGGGGAGCAAACAGG
Molecule: ribosomal RNA, 253 nt
Filed under: uncultured bacterium
Lineage: Bacteria
Description: partial 16S ribosomal RNA
Rfam family: Bacterial small subunit ribosomal RNA
Source: RNAcentral